UAAACGACUCUCGGCAACGGAUAUCUCGGCUCACGCAUCGAUGAAGAACGUAGCAAAAUGCGAUACUUGGUGUGAAUUGCAGAAUCCCGUGAACCAUCAAGUUUUUGAACGCAAGUUGCGCCCGAAGCCAUUCGGCCGAGGGCACGUCUGCCUGGGCGUCACGC
Molecule: ribosomal RNA, 164 nt
Filed under: Centaurea x forsythiana
Lineage: Eukaryota; Viridiplantae; Streptophyta; Magnoliopsida; Asterales; Asteraceae
Description: 5.8S ribosomal RNA
Rfam family: 5.8S ribosomal RNA
About the family: 5.8S ribosomal RNA (5.8S rRNA) is a component of the large subunit of the eukaryotic ribosome.
Source: RNAcentral